ACUAAGCGUACACGGUGGAUGCCCUGGCAGUCAGAGGCGAUGAAGGACGUGCUAAUCUGCGAAAAGCGUCGGUAAGGUGAUAUGAACCGUUACAGCCGGCGAUGUCCGAAUGGGGAAACCCAGUGCAAUUCGUUGCACUAUCGUUAACUGAAUACAUAGGUUAACGAGGCGAACCGGGGGAACUGAAACAUCUAAGUACCCCGAGGAAAAGAAAUCAACCGAGAUUCCCCCAGUAGCGGCGAGCGAACGGGGAGGAGCCCAGAGCCUGAAUCAGUGUGUGUGUUAGUGGAAGCGUCUGGAAAGGCGCGCGAUACAGGGUGACAGCCCCGUACACAAAAAUGCACAUGCUGUGAGCUCGAUGAGUAGGGCGGGACACGUGGUAUCCUGUCUGAAUAUGGGGGGACCAUCCUCCAAGGCUAAAUACUCCUGACUGACCGAUAGUGAACCAGUACCGUGAGGGAAAGGCGAAAAGAACCCCGGCGAGGGGAGUGAAAAAGAACCUGAAACCGUGUACGUACAAGCAGUGGGAGCACGCUUAGGCGUGUGACUGCGUACCUUUUGUAUAAUGGGUCAGCGACUUAUAUUCUGUAGCAAGGUUAACCGAAUAGGGGAGCCGAAGGGAAACCGAGUCUUAACUGGGCGUUAAGUUGCAGGGUAUAGACCCGAAACCCGGUGAUCUAGCCAUGGGCAGGUUGAAGGUUGGGUAACACUAACUGGAGGACCGAACCGACUAAUGUUGAAAAAUUAGCGGAUGACUUGUGGCUGGGGGUGAAAGGCCAAUCAAACCGGGAGAUAGCUGGUUCUCCCCGAAAGCUAUUUAGGUAGCGCCUCGUGAAUUCAUCUCCGGGGGUAGAGCACUGUUUCGGCAAGGGGGUCAUCCCGACUUACCAACCCGAUGCAAACUGCGAAUACCGGAGAAUGUUAUCACGGGAGACACACGGCGGGUGCUAACGUCCGUCGUGAAGAGGGAAACAACCCAGACCGCCAGCUAAGGUCCCAAAGUCAUGGUUAAGUGGGAAACGAUGUGGGAAGGCCCAGACAGCCAGGAUGUUGGCUUAGAAGCAGCCAUCAUUUAAAGAAAGCGUAAUAGCUCACUGGUCGAGUCGGCCUGCGCGGAAGAUGUAACGGGGCUAAACCAUGCACCGAAGCUGCGGCAGCGACACUAUGUGUUGUUGGGUAGGGGAGCGUUCUGUAAGCCGUUGAAGGUGGCCUGUGAGGGUUGCUGGAGGUAUCAGAAGUGCGAAUGCUGACAUAAGUAACGAUAAUGCGGGUGAAAAACCCGCACGCCGGAAGACCAAGGGUUCCUGUCCAACGUUAAUCGGGGCAGGGUGAGUCGACCCCUAAGGCGAGGCCGAAAGGCGUAGUCGAUGGGAAACAGGUUAAUAUUCCUGUACUUGGUGUUACUGCGAAGGGGGGACGGAGAAGGCUAUGUUGGCCGGGCGACGGUUGUCCCGGUUUAAGCGUGUAGGCUGGUUUUCCAGGCAAAUCCGGAAAAUCAAGGCUGAGGCGUGAUGACGAGGCACUACGGUGCUGAAGCAACAAAUGCCCUGCUUCCAGGAAAAGCCUCUAAGCAUCAGGUAACAUCAAAUCGUACCCCAAACCGACACAGGUGGUCAGGUAGAGAAUACCAAGGCGCUUGAGAGAACUCGGGUGAAGGAACUAGGCAAAAUGGUGCCGUAACUUCGGGAGAAGGCACGCUGAUAUGUAGGUGAAGUCCCUUGCGGAUGGAGCUGAAAUCAGUCGAAGAUACCAGCUGGCUGCAACUGUUUAUUAAAAACACAGCACUGUGCAAACACGAAAGUGGACGUAUACGGUGUGACGCCUGCCCGGUGCCGGAAGGUUAAUUGAUGGGGUUAUCCGUAAGGAGAAGCUCUUGAUCGAAGCCCCGGUAAACGGCGGCCGUAACUAUAACGGUCCUAAGGUAGCGAAAUUCCUUGUCGGGUAAGUUCCGACCUGCACGAAUGGCGUAAUGAUGGCCAGGCUGUCUCCACCCGAGACUCAGUGAAAUUGAACUCGCUGUGAAGAUGCAGUGUACCCGCGGCAAGACGGAAAGACCCCGUGAACCUUUACUAUAGCUUGACACUGAACAUUGAGCCUUGAUGUGUAGGAUAGGUGGGAGGCUUUGAAGUGUGGACGCCAGUCUGCAUGGAGCCGACCUUGAAAUACCACCCUUUAAUGUUUGAUGUUCUAACGUUGACCCGUAAUCCGGGUUGCGGACAGUGUCUGGUGGGUAGUUUGACUGGGGCGGUCUCCUCCUAAAGAGUAACGGAGGAGCACGAAGGUUGGCUAAUCCUGGUCGGACAUCAGGAGGUUAGUGCAAUGGCAUAAGCCAGCUUGACUGCGAGCGUGACGGCGCGAGCAGGUGCGAAAGCAGGUCAUAGUGAUCCGGUGGUUCUGAAUGGAAGGGCCAUCGCUCAACGGAUAAAAGGUACUCCGGGGAUAACAGGCUGAUACCGCCCAAGAGUUCAUAUCGACGGCGGUGUUUGGCACCUCGAUGUCGGCUCAUCACAUCCUGGGGCUGAAGUAGGUCCCAAGGGUAUGGCUGUUCGCCAUUUAAAGUGGUACGCGAGCUGGGUUUAGAACGUCGUGAGACAGUUCGGUCCCUAUCUGCCGUGGGCGCUGGAGAAUUGAGGGGGGCUGCUCCUAGUACGAGAGGACCGGAGUGGACGCAUCACUGGUGUUCGGGUUGUCAUGCCAAUGGCAUUGCCCGGUAGCUAAAUGCGGAAGAGAUAAGUGCUGAAAGCAUCUAAGCACGAAACUUGCCCCGAGAUGAGUUCUCCCUGACUCCUUGAGAGUCCUGAAGGAACGUUGAAGACGACGACGUUGAUAGGCCGGGUGUGUAAGCGCAGCGAUGCGUUGAGCUAACCGGUACUAAUGAACCGUGAGGCUUAACC
Molecule: ribosomal RNA, 2894 nt
Filed under: human gut metagenome
Description: bacterial LSU rRNA
Rfam family: Bacterial large subunit ribosomal RNA
Source: RNAcentral